Molecule: unclassified non-coding RNA, 204 nt
Filed under: rhizosphere metagenome
Description: partial ribosomal RNA internal transcribed spacer region
Source: RNAcentral
GUAGGUGAACCUGCGGAAGGAUCAUUCAUAAUAAGUGUUUUAUGGCACUUUUUAAAUCCAUAUCCACCUUGUGUGCAAUGUCGGUCGAUCUUCUUCAUGGAGAUCGACCAAACAUCAACCUUUAUCUUUUAACUCUUUGUCUGAAAAAUAUUAUGAAUAAACAAUUCAAAAUGACAACUUUUAACGGUGGAUCUCUUGGCUCGG